Molecule: ribosomal RNA, 470 nt
Filed under: uncultured bacterium
Lineage: Bacteria
Description: bacterial SSU rRNA
Rfam family: Bacterial small subunit ribosomal RNA
Source: RNAcentral
CCAGACUCCUACGGGAGGCAGCAGUGGGGAAUAUUGCGCAAUGGGCGAAAGCCUGACGCAGCGACGCCGCGUGAGGGAUGAAGGUCUUCGGAUCGUAAACCUCUGUCAGCAGGGAAGAACGGUCACUGUGCUAAUCAGCAGUGAAUUGACGGUACCUGCAAAGGAAGCACCGGCUAACUCCGUGCCAGCAGCCGCGGUAAUACGGAGGGUGCGAGCGUUAAUCGGAAUUACUGGGCGUAAAGCGCACGUAGGCUGUAUGACAAGUCAAGGGUGAAAUGCCACGGCUCAACCGUGGAACUGCCUUUGAAACUGUCAAACUGGAGUAUGUGAGAGGGCGGCGGAAUUCCUGGUGUAGGAGUGAAAUCCGUAGAUAUCAGGAGGAACAUCAGUGGCGAAGGCGGCCGCCUGGCACAAAACUGACGCUGAGGUGCGAAAGCGUGGGUAGCAAACAGGAUUAGAUACCCUCGUAC